RNAcentral lists this small RNA (562 nucleotides) under Arabidopsis thaliana (thale cress). RNAcentral describes it as "ATSL026920". The record is from RNAcentral. Lineage: Eukaryota; Viridiplantae; Streptophyta; Magnoliopsida; Brassicales; Brassicaceae.
UUUUCAAUUAUUUUUUUAAAAAAGUAUUAUGUAAUUUCAUUAAUUAAUAUGAAAGCUAAAUAUUUUUAUAUAUAUAAUAGUUGUCUAUUAUGCUUUUCGUCAAAAGAAUUUAUAUUAAUUUGAAAGAUCAUCAUACAAAGUGUUUACAAUCCAAAGAAGACGAUUUAGGCUCUCAAAAUAAAAACUAGUGUCAAUAUUCCCAUAUUUAGCAAGAUUAUGAGCUACUUGGUUACAACAACGAUUUACAUGAGAGAAACAAACUUAUUUAAAUUUAGCCGACCAAUACUUGAUAUAGGCGUAGAUGCUGGUAAUAGAUGCGUCUGCUGAUCCAUUGUUGAUGAUGUCAAUUAAGAUUUUGCAGUCCCUUUCAAAGUAUACAUUGGUGAAACCUCAAAUCCAUGUUUGUCGCAAUGAACAUAGUAGUGCUUGUGUUUCCGCCUCUAGUGGUGAUGUUGUGAGUUUCAACAAUGACGAACCCCAUGCUUUAGAAGUUCCUUCAUGAUCACGGAUAACCCAGCCACCAUUUACUUGGUUAGUGUUGACAUCAAACUUAGCAUCAAAA